RNAcentral lists this long non-coding RNA (425 nucleotides) under Amborella trichopoda. RNAcentral describes it as "long non-coding RNA (ATRI_LNC002870)". The record is from RNAcentral. Lineage: Eukaryota; Viridiplantae; Streptophyta; Magnoliopsida; Amborellales; Amborellaceae.
UCUUUGUGCUUUAGGGCAUUAGGCAUUAAGCAUGUAUUGAUUGGCACAGACCAUGGCAAAACAUACCUUAAAGUUAAAAGGUAAAUAUGCAAAGUGCAAAAGUAAAAUGUCAGAGAUUCGAAGAAGAAAGCGUAACAAUUACCCUCUCAUGUGAACUGGGUACCACCCUUCUUAUUUACAGUACAUCCCUAAGAAGCAUCUGCGCACUUAGAGAGAGAGAGCACUUCAAGAAUGAGAGUAUUUGGAGAGAGAGAAAAUAGUUAGAGAGAGAGAAAGCACUUAGAAUGAAAGGAGAGAGAGAAUAUUUAGAGAGAGAGAGCACUUCAAGACUGAGAGUAUUUGGAGAGAUAGAGAGGAAUUUACAGAGAGAAAGAGAGCACUUCAAGAAUAAGAGUAUUUGGAGAGAUAGAGAGAGAGUAUUUGGC